Molecule: transfer RNA, 65 nt
Filed under: Tipula abdominalis
Lineage: Eukaryota; Metazoa; Arthropoda; Insecta; Diptera; Tipulidae
Description: tRNA-Pro
Source: RNAcentral
CAGGAAAUAGUUUAAUUAAAAUAUUAAUUUUGGAGAUUAAUGAUAAAGAUAAUCUUUUUUCCUGA